Molecule: ribosomal RNA, 255 nt
Filed under: uncultured bacterium
Lineage: Bacteria
Description: partial 16S ribosomal RNA
Rfam family: Bacterial small subunit ribosomal RNA
Source: RNAcentral
UACGUAGGGGGCAAGCGUUGUCCGGAUUUAUUGGGCGUAAAGAGCGUGUAGGCGGCCUGGAAGGUCAGCUGUGAAAACUCGAGGCUCAACCUCGAGACGUCGGUUGAAACCACCUGGCUAGAGUCCGGAAGAGGAGAGUGGAAUUCCCGGUGUAGCGGUGAAAUGCGCAGAUAUCAGGAGGAACACCGGUGGCGAAGGCGGGUCUCUGGGCCGAUACUGACGCUGGAGGAGCGAAAAGCGUGGGGAGCGAACAGG